RNAcentral lists this ribosomal RNA (253 nucleotides) under uncultured bacterium. RNAcentral's name for it is "partial 16S ribosomal RNA". It matches the Rfam family "Bacterial small subunit ribosomal RNA", at positions 524 to 776 of the family's 1533-position model. The record is from RNAcentral.
UACGGAGGGUGCAAGCGUUGCUCGGAAUUACUGGGCGUAAAGAGUGCGUAGGUUGUAUGGUGUGCUAGAUGUGAAAUCCAUGGGCUUAACCUGUGAAUUGCAUUUAAGACUGCCGUGCUAGAGUGUUGUAGAGGGUGGCGGAAUUUCCAGUGUAGCGGUGAAAUGCGUAGAUAUUGGAAGGAACACCAGUGGCGAAGGCGGCCACCUGGACAAACACUGACACUGAGGCACGAAAGCGUGGGGAGCAAACAGG